This 253-nucleotide ribosomal RNA is filed under the name uncultured bacterium. Its description in RNAcentral is "partial 16S ribosomal RNA". It matches the Rfam family "Bacterial small subunit ribosomal RNA", at positions 524 to 776 of the family's 1533-position model. The record is from RNAcentral.
UACGUAGGGUGCGAGCGUUAAUCGGAAUUACUGGGCGUAAAGCGUGCGCAGGCGGUUUUGUAAGCCAGAUGUGAAAUGCCCGGGCUUAACCUGGGAACUGCAUUUGUGACUGCAUGGCUAGAGUUUGGCAGAGGGGGGUAGAAUUCCACGUGUAGCAGUGAAAUGCGUAGAUAUGUGGAGGAACACCGAUGGCGAAGGCAGCCCCCUGGGUCAAGACUGACGCUCAUGCACGAAAGCGUGGGGAGCAAACAGG